Molecule: ribosomal RNA, 468 nt
Filed under: uncultured bacterium
Lineage: Bacteria
Description: partial 16S ribosomal RNA
Rfam family: Bacterial small subunit ribosomal RNA
Source: RNAcentral
GACGAACGCUGGCGGCGUGCUUAACACAUGCAAGUCGAACGGAAAGGCCCUGCUUUUGUGGGGUGCUCGAGUGGCGAACGGGUGAGUAACACGUGAGUAACCUGCCCUUGACUUUGGGAUAACUUCAGGAAACUGGGGCUAAUACCGGAUAGGAGCUCCUGCUGCAUGGUGGGGGUUGGAAAGUUUCGGCGGUUGGGGAUGGACUCGCGGCUUAUCAGCUUGUUGGUGGAGUAGUGGCUUACCAAGGCUUUGACGGGUAGCCGGCCUGAGAGGGUGACCGGCCACAUUGGGACUGAGAUACGGCCCAGACUCCUACGGGAGGCAGCAGUGGGGAAUAUUGCACAAUGGGCGGAAGCCUGAUGCAGCAACGCCGCGUGCGGGAUGACGGCCUUCGGGUUGUAGACCGCUUUCGCCUGUGACGAAGCGUGAGUGACGGUAAUGGGUAAAGAAGCACCGGCUAACUACGUG